RNAcentral lists this unclassified non-coding RNA (383 nucleotides) under soil metagenome. RNAcentral describes it as "partial contains 5.8S ribosomal RNA, internal transcribed spacer 2, and large subunit ribosomal RNA". The stretch from base 1 to 120 matches the Rfam family "5.8S ribosomal RNA", at positions 35 to 154 of the family's 154-position model. The record is from RNAcentral.
GAUGAAGAACGCAGCGAAGUGCGAUAAGUAAUGUGAAUUGCAGAAUUCCGUGAAUCAUCGAAUCUUUGAACGCAAAUUGCACUCUCUGGUAUCCCGGGGAGUAUGCCUGUUUGAGGGUCAGUGUUAAUAAAAAUCGGUGCGUUGCACUUUAUUGUGACGUUCUGGAGUUUGAGUUAUCUUAACUUUUAGGUUAAGAGGCUUAAAAUUGACCUUUUUUUUGUGCAUUUUAGACGUACAUAAAUUUUCUUUUAUUUGUUUUUUAAUGCCAAAAUUAUAUUAGAUGCGACCAUAUCGUGUGGUUUCGUGUCUAUAAAUUUUUCAUGAUUUGACCUCAAAUCAGGUAGGAGUACCCGCUGAACUUAAGCAUAUCAAUAAGCGGAGGA